RNAcentral lists this ribosomal RNA (364 nucleotides) under uncultured bacterium. RNAcentral describes it as "partial 16S ribosomal RNA". It matches the Rfam family "Bacterial small subunit ribosomal RNA", at positions 338 to 699 of the family's 1533-position model. The record is from RNAcentral.
CCUACGGGAGGCAGCAGUGAGGAAUAUUGGUCAAUGGACGGAAGUCUGAACCAGCCAUGCCGCGUGCAUGAAGAAGGUUCUAUGAGUUUUAAACUGUUUUUGUACAAGGGUAAACCUGAAUACGUGUAUGCAGCUGAAAGUACUGUACCAAUAAGGAUCGGCUAACUCCGUGCCAGCAGCCGCGGUAAUAUGUAGGAUACAAGCGUUAUCCGGAUUUAUUGGGUUUAAAGGGUGCGUAGGCGGAUUGAUAAGUUAGAGGUGAAAUGUCCGGGCUUAACUCGGGAACUGCCUCUAAUACGGUUGGUCUAGAGAGUAGAAGAGGUAGGCGGAAUGUAGGGUGUAGCGGUGAAAUGCUUAGAGAUCA